This 72-nucleotide transfer RNA is filed under the name Phrynosoma platyrhinos (Desert horned lizard). RNAcentral describes it as "tRNA-OTHER". Lineage: Eukaryota; Metazoa; Chordata; Lepidosauria; Squamata; Phrynosomatidae. The record is from RNAcentral.
GUCAGUGGAGUGUAGUGGUUUGAGCUUUGGACUGUGACUCUGGAGACUAGGGUUCAAAUCCCCACUCAGCCA